This 254-nucleotide ribosomal RNA is filed under the name uncultured bacterium. RNAcentral describes it as "partial 16S ribosomal RNA". It matches the Rfam family "Bacterial small subunit ribosomal RNA", at positions 524 to 776 of the family's 1533-position model. The record is from RNAcentral.
UACGUAGGGGGCGAGCGUUGUCCGAAUUUACUGGGCGUAAAGCGCGCGUAGGCGGUCUCUUAAGUCUGGGGUGAAAGGUUCAGCGCUCAACGUGAACAGUGCCUUGGAUACUGGGGGACUUGAGUCUGGGAGGGGGCAGUGGAAUUCCUGGUGUAGCGGUGAAAUGCGUAGAUAUCGGGAGGAACACCGGUGGCGAAGGCGGCUGCCUGGCCUAAGACUGACGCUGAGGUGCGAAAGCGUGGGUAGCGAACGGG